GACGAACGCUGGCGGCGUGCUUAACACAUGCAAGUCGAACGGUGAAGCGCCUUCCUUUUUGGUGGGUGUGGAUGAGUGGCGAACGGGUGAGUAACACGUGAGUAACCUGCCCCCUUCUUCUGGAUAACCGCAUGAAAGUGUGGCUAAUACGGGAUAUUCUGGGUCUGUCGCAUGAUGGGUCUGGGAAAGAUAUUGUUUCGGUGGGGGAUGGGCUCGCGGCCUAUCAGCUUGUUGGUGGGGUGAUGGCCUACCAAGGCGGUGACGGGUAGCCGGCCUGAGAGGGUGGACGGUCACACUGGGACUGAGACACGGCCCAGACUCCUACGGGAGGCAGCAGUGGGGAAUAUUGCACAAUGGGCGCAAGCCGGAUGCAGCGACGCCGCGUGAGGGAUGGAGGCCUUCGGGUUGUGAACCUCUUUCGCCAGUGAAGCAGGCCUGCCUCGUUUGUGGGUGGGUUGACGGUAGCUGGAUAAGAAGCGCCGGCUAACUACGUG
RNAcentral lists this ribosomal RNA (494 nucleotides) under uncultured bacterium. RNAcentral describes it as "partial 16S ribosomal RNA". It matches the Rfam family "Bacterial small subunit ribosomal RNA", at positions 28 to 507 of the family's 1533-position model. The record is from RNAcentral.